CCCUGCUCCUGUCAGUUACUGUUGUCACUCCCCUUGUGUUCUAGCAUGUUCCCUGGCAGUUAGCCCUGCUUUGAUGAUUUUUUGGUUUGAAAGGCUUCUUUCCUACCCUGAGUGCUCCCUAUUUGUUAAGUUACAUGAUGUAACCCUCCCCUAAGAUCCCCUCAUUGGUUGAGAGUUGUGUCCAGCCCUUGUACUGUUCCUUCUUUAAAAAUGCUUGCCGGGCCUAUUCUCCCUGUCAUUUACUCCUGGCCUCCUUCGGGAAAUAAGCUUUCUUUGGAGGUUCAGGCAAGUGAUCUUUCCCUGUUUCCUUUACUUCAGGUUCCUCAUGUUGAGCCUCUGGUGUGCCACCCACACUGCAGCAAUCACCGCCACCCUGGAUGGUCUCGGCUGAGCUCAUGGGGCGGCCAUCCUCAUGUGUGCCCUCCAGCCAUGAAGGGUGUGCUAGCCAGCAAACCUCCACCCCAUGGCCACAGACUGCUCUCACAGUGUCCUCUUCUCCUGUCACUUGUUGGCUGAGAAAAGAGACCAAACCUCACCUGGCUACAACCUCCUUUCAGGCAGCUGGAGAGAGUGAUAAGGUCUCCCCUGAGCCUCCUUUUUCUCAGGCUAAACAACCCCAGCUUUCUCACAUGCUCCUCACAGGACUUGUGCUCCAGACCCUUCACCAGUGCUGUUGCCCUUGUCUGGGCAACCUCCAGCAUCUCAACAUCCUUCCUGAACUGGGGGGCCCAGAACUGAGGUGUGGCCUCACCAGUGCCAGGUACCAGUGAAGAAUGACCUCCCUGGUCCUGCUGGCCACACUAUUCCUGCAGUGCCAGGUACCAAUGAUGAAUGACCUCCCUGGUCCUGCUGGCCACACUAUUCCUGAUACAGGUCAGGAUGCCAUUGGCCUUCUUGGUCACUAGACAUACACUGGUUCAUUUUCAGUAAGCUCAGUCAAUAUCCCCAGGUCCUUUUCUGCUUGGCCACUGUCCGGCCACUCUGUCCCCAGCCUGUAGUAAAGCAGGGGGAUGUUGUGGCCAAAGUGCAGGACCUGGCACCUGGACUUGUUAAACUUACUGUUGGACUCUGCCCAUCUAUUCAUAUUCCUCCCAGAACCCUCCUAGCCUCCAACAGAUUGAAAUUCCCCCCACCUUGGUGCCAUCUGUAAAUUUGAUAAUGGUGAACUCAAAUCACCUCAUCCAGAUUAUCAAUAAAGAUACUAAACAGGACUGGGUCCAACAUUGAUCCCCGAGGAACACUACUGGUGACUGGCUGCCAGCUGGAUGCAGCUCCAUUGACCACCACUCUCUGGGCCCAGCCAUCUAACCAGUUCUUUACCCAGCAAAGAGUGCUCCUGUCCAAGCUGUGGGCUGCCAGCUUUUCCAGGAGAAGGCCAUGGGUGCUGGUAUGAAAUGCUUUGCUGAAGUCCAGGUAGAAACACCCACAGCCUUCCCCUCCUCCACUACCUGUUCAGGAAAGAUAGGUCAGUGAGACAGAACCUACCCCUCUUAAGUCCAUGCCAGCCAGGUCUGAUCCCCCAUCCAUCAUGAAGCUGCCAUGUAAUUGCACUCAGGAUGGUCUGCAAGAUUAUGGUUCCAAAAUUAUGGUUCCAUAAUCUUGCAGGGCACUGAGGUCAGGUUGACAGGCAUGUAGUUUCCUGGAUCCUUCUCCUGGCUCUUCUUGUGGAUGGGUAUCACAUCGGUCACUUUCUGGUGACCUAGGACUUCCUUGGUUAACAAAGACUGGUGAUAAAUGAUGGAAAGUAACUCAGGGAGCUCUUCUGCCAGCCCCCUCAUGACUCUUUUUUAAUUACCCUGGGACCUUUUUUAUAAGCCUUAUCACUGCCAAGCUGGACAACCAGCACUGGAAAAUAAUCAGGAGGCUGAAUUAGUUCAGGGAGUGUCCUGGUGAAAUCCUGCACCCAGGCCCCAGAGAGGCAGCACACUUCCCUGCGGAAUGGGUGCACUUGACAUACAGGAGCCGUCGUUCCCCUUAGAACAGAGUCACCUACAACAACUACCGUUCUUUUCUCCUUAAUACAUGUUGGAUAUUUUCUAUAUUGGUAAACAAUAAAUAGGAUAGAAGUCUGAUUUUGCCUGUUGUUUUUCCUAGGCCAAACUUGAGAUGCAAAUUAAGGAAACAAAUAUGUCUUAUGCAGCUGCUAUAAAAAAAGUUUACUUACUUUGUUCUCUCUACUCGUUCUCUCAAACAUUGAAGAAUUACAUGGAAGUCUCGGUCUUUGAGAAGCACUAUAGUGCAGAAAUCAGAAACCUAACUAGCAUGUUGCAGUAGUUCAUAAUAUUUUUUUUUUUUCAUUUAUUAGCAAAACCUGUGUGAUUUUUUCACAGAAGCAGGAAAAAUAAUGUUGAGAAACUGAGUCCCACUAAAAAUGAAAAAAGGGGAAAACCAUGGAAAAAUAUCUAGUUCAGUUUUACUUCUUAGCUAUUCACUUUGCACUUUGGACAGGAAAUAGUGAUUCAUAUCCAUUGACAUAAUGAGCGCACAAAGAAAAUAAAAUAGGCCAUAAAGAAUCUAAAGAUGCCAAAAAAUUAUAAGUGUCAAUCAACAUCAACAACUUUGUCUUGUAUUGAUUUUUUAUAUAGAUGAAAAUCCGCUUAUUAAAUCUAAGCCAUAUAGUUUCACUUUGUCUUCGACCUCAGUCAAGACACUCAGAACAUACUAAUGUAAUUUAUGGCAUAAAAUGUGGCCAACUCCACAGUUUGUGUGAUGCUACAAUUACAUCAUUCAUAACUAUAUCCUUCUGUUAGGACAAGUUCAAAUUCCUUGUUCUUGACACUCAGUGACCCAAAUUACUCAGCCUUAACCUAUAAUUUUGUCCUUGUCUUCUGUGUGCUAAGGACAUGAAUUCAACACUGCUUUAAUUUUCUUCUACCGUUUUAUUUUCAUGCUCUCUUUCUAGCUGUUUUAGAUUCAUGGAAUGGCCUCUGAAUUCUUACUUAAAGACCUCGUUUCAUCGUUCAAACUACUUCUAAAACCUUUUUCCCCAAAUCUUCCAUUAAAGGAACUAAUGUACUCAGCAAUCAGAAAUGCAGACAUGUCUGACAGCUAAUUGCAUAAUCCUUUAAAAGUUAUAGUCACAUCUCUAUCUUUUUUUUGUUCUUGUUUAUUAUUUCCUCUUUUUGUGUCACGUUUGAGUUUAAAUUGUAACCUCUUCAUUGUGGGGAUCUUUUCAUUAGCUGCUCCAUCAUUAUUUUCCACAAAAGCAAAAUAAUUAACAUUUCCCUAUGACGCUACAAUAUUUAGUCAUUCGAAAGUAAGGAAUAAAUUUAUGAGGAUGACAAGAUGCUAGAAGCUGGAAAAAGAAGUAUUUUUCUUACAAUGGAAACCUGAACAUCUUAUUCCUUAGAAAAUAUAAUGGGGUGUAACUCUGAAACUCCCCUGAAAAUGGCCCUUAUCCAUAAAAUGUAUGCUUUCAACUAAUAAAAAAUCACUAGUAAUUCACUUUAGUGAAAAACUCUAAAAACAAAAACUAAAACUGUGUUUCUUAUACAGUAAGAAGCACACUAUAUGAUACCACCACCUGAACCAGGUAUCUUAUUCAAGAUGAAUGUCUGAGAUCCAUACACAUUCAGCAUUAAAAAAAAAAAAUGAAACCAUUUACCCCCUCUAAAAUAGAUGCCAGAGAAAGGCAAGAUGAAUCAGAGUUUGAAGAAUUACUAUAUUUUGAAUAUUUACUAUGCAAUUUUCAUUUUUAUUAAAAUUGUCUUGGAGAGCCCAUUUGAUACUACAAGAAUCAAGCAGAGAAUUGUGGUCGUUUCAGUGUCAAUAUAGUUUACAUCGAAUCAAAAAUAUCAAAUUCCAACUACAGGGCAGUAUUCAUAUUCUUACAUAUAUUUAAAUCCUUGCCUAUUUACAGAAGUAUGUUAUUUUUCUCAAAUAAAAAGGUUAAGAGAAUUCUUCCAACUAUAAAAAUGAAGUGUUAAGGUAGUUAUGUACCUUAUAGUGAUGGGGAGCAGAUUAUAGGCCCCAUAAACCCAGAGGGAAUGGUCAGUGACCUGUUAUACCACUUAGACACAAAAAAGUCCAUGGGGCUGGAUCAAAUCCGUCCAAAGGUACUGAGGAAAGUGGUGGAAGUGUUCCACAAGUCUCUUUCCAUCAUUUUUUGUCAGUCCUGACUAACAGGAGAGGUCCCCGAGGAAGUUAGAAAAGGGACACCCAUCCACAGGAAAGGCCGGAAAGAACAUCCAGGGAACUACAGCCUGUCAGUCUGACCUUGAGGCUGGGGAAGGUUAUGAAGAAGAUCAUCUGGAUUGCCAUCACACAGAGAGUGCAGGACAACUAAUGUCCUGCAGGCUCAGGACUGACAGGCUGAGGCCAGUGGUGUGAGGUCACAAUAACUCCAUGCAGAGCUGCAGGCCUGGGGAGGAGUGGCUGGAAAGCUGCCUGGUGGAACAGGACCUGGGGGUGCUGGCUGACAUCCUGAGCAUGAGCCAGCAGUGAGCCCAGGUCAAGAGGAAAUGGCCUAAAGUUGUGCCAGGAGAGGUUUAGAUUAAAUAUCUGGGAAAAAAAAUUCAUCAUGGAAAAUGAGAUUAAGCACUGGAACAGACUCCCCAGAAAUUCUUCUGAAUCUAGUGAUAAAACGCAUCUACUGCAGCAGACACCACAGAUAAAUGGCCUUGGUAACACAGACAAUUAAUUUGUGGCUGGCUUUGCUUCAAUGAAGAAGAGAUGAAAACACAUCUAUAGUUUUUAUGAUUCCAAAUGGAAAGUCAUCUUGGAUGAAAUUUAUACUAGGAGAAACACUACGUAUUCACCAGAGACAGCAGUGAUCAAGAAGUAUAUCCCACACCUUCUGCAGAAAGCAAGCCUAGGAGAUGCCAUCAUGAGGGUAGAGACUUGGAUGAGAAACUCUUGGGUUCCACAAGGAAAAUUUUUUUGGUAAGGAAUAUUAAAUAAUUUUAAAACUUAAAACCCAAGCACAAGCAGUAUGCUUUUCCCUAAAUAUAUUGCAGAUGUAGAAUUCCUCUAAUUCUUCUGAAAGUUAAAAUGGCAAAAUAAAGAUCUGUGUACCAGACUUUUACAUAUGUACCACCAAAACAUGGUGCCCUUUAAGCUGCUAUAUAUGCUAUUACAGCUAUAAAUACCAGGAUAACUCUAGUUAACUCAUGGUAAAUUGUACCAAUUAAGUUGCCUUCUGAACUUAAUUUUUUUGUUAAAUUUGAAAGUAGAAAAGUUGAACUCCAAUAGGAUUUUCUUUUCCCUGUAGUUUAUUUGUUCCCAAUGCUAUGUUUCACCUUGAAACCUGCUAGUAAAUGUAUAACAUCAUGUUCUGUGACCUGCACUCUUCAUUCUGGCUCUUGUGUGUUCCAGUGGGGUGAUUUUAAUUUCCUUUUAUUACAGUUAAGGGCAUCUACAAUCUGGUUUAAAACACUUAGUUUGUCAUGUGAAGAUUCUGCUCAAAUUGACCUUGAUUUAUUUGCCCUAUUUAUUUCUUUGGACCGCCGGUGGAUUUGGAACAAAAACUGUAAAAGUGUCUGUGAUAGUAGCUUCUGUUAGCUUGUUUGGUGAGUGAGUGCUGCUCACUUCCUUCCUUCCUUCCUUCCUUCCUUCCUUCCUUCCUUCCUUCCUUCCUUCCUUCCUUCCUUCCUUCCUUCCUUCCUUCCUUCCU
Molecule: long non-coding RNA, 5611 nt
Organism: Passer domesticus (house sparrow)
Lineage: Eukaryota; Metazoa; Chordata; Aves; Passeriformes; Passeridae
Exons: 3
Source: RefSeq, a predicted model, not a curated record